RNAcentral lists this unclassified non-coding RNA (683 nucleotides) under Hevea brasiliensis (rubber tree). Lineage: Eukaryota; Viridiplantae; Streptophyta; Magnoliopsida; Malpighiales; Euphorbiaceae. The record is from RNAcentral.
CUGAAACCUGAGCUUUCACCUUUGCAAGCUUGCUAACCUCUUCAGGAUGAUCAACACAGUACUGCAUAUGUUCUUUCAAUUUUGACCCAAAUUCCUUGUUUAGACUGUUGGCAGGAGCCGUGGAAGCCUUUCCCCCUCCAUAUUUCGACACAAAAUCAUCCUUAAUACGCUCCAAAAAUGCAAUAGGCACUUGCCUUCCUGCUGAUUCAGUUGCAACUACACAGUAUGUGUAACCGUUGUCAACGAGAUAGUUGAAGGUGUGGCCAUCGCAAUUGUAGGUGAAUUUGUUAUUGGCAGUGGGCAAUUUCUGGAGGCAUUGAAAAGCAAUGGAAUUGAAAUUCCCACUGUAUUCGGUGUACUCAGCGAGAAUCACGGUUCCACGAGCGACGAAAGCGUAGAUCAAAGACUUCUGCGCCAUCUGAAAGAAUGAAGCAAAAAUCUAGGGCUUGGAAUGAAUGAAUAAAGGGUCGAAAAGGGAAGUCCACAGGGUUUCAAGAGGUAAAAGAGAGGAAACCCAGAUCGGGAAAAUCAAACCCCUGCUCUCUGGACUCGGAAUUUGGGGAUGCAAAACGGAAGAAGAGUCAAGAGAGAAGGGAAAAAGCAAGGGAAGGAGGAAUCAAAGAAGAAAUGGGGGUUUUAUGAAGGUUAAAAAGCAAAAGAGAAACUGGCAAAAGAAGAGAGAG